RNAcentral lists this ribosomal RNA (468 nucleotides) under uncultured bacterium. Its description in RNAcentral is "partial 16S ribosomal RNA". It matches the Rfam family "Bacterial small subunit ribosomal RNA", at positions 28 to 507 of the family's 1533-position model. The record is from RNAcentral.
GACGAACGCUGGCGGCGUGCUUAACACAUGCAAGUCGAACGGAAAGGCCCUGCUUUUGUGGUCUGCUCGAGUGGCGAACGGGUGAGUAACACGUGAGUAACCUGCCCUUGACUUUGGGAUAACUUCAGGAAACUGGAGCUAAUACCGGAUAGGAGCUCCUGCUGCAUGGUGGGGGUUGGAAAGUUUCUGCGGUUGGGGAUGGACUCGCGGCUUAUCAGCUUGUUGGUGGGGUAGUGGCUUACCAAGGCUUUGACGGGUACCCGGCCUGAGAGGGUGACCGGCCACAUGGGGACUGAGAUACGGCCCAGACUCCUACGGGAGGCAGCAGGGGGGAAUAUUGCACAAUGGGCGGAAGCCGGAUGCAGAAGCCCCGCGUGCGGGAUGACGGCUUUCGGGUUGUAAACCGCUUUCGCCUGUGACGAAGCGUGAGUGACGGUAAUGGGUAAAGAAGCACCGGCUAACUACGUG